Molecule: long non-coding RNA, 310 nt
Organism: Pectinophora gossypiella (pink bollworm)
Lineage: Eukaryota; Metazoa; Arthropoda; Insecta; Lepidoptera; Gelechiidae
Exons: 2
Source: RefSeq, a predicted model, not a curated record
GAAAGACCUUGUCGUUAACUCUCGCCAAAUUUCGCUCACCGUCAAGCUAGCAAGUGAAAUAAAACAUGGCUAUAAAUCCAGAACCGUGAUGGUACUAAUUUUUUUACAACAGGUACUAUUUUUUUCAAUAGGAGUGCUAAUUUUUGGUAUGGUCAAAUUAUUUUUUCGUGCCCAUUUUUUUUUGAGGCCGCUAGCUUGAUGCACACUUCAUCCGGUACAAAACUUAAAACAACAGGCCUGAGUGUGCCCAGUUGGGCGGGAACCUCGUCUCAGGGCGACGUCUGAGAGAAAAAUAUUUGAAAGAAAUCUU